AGAACGCUAGCGGGAGGCCUAACACAUGCAAGCCGAGCGGUAGAGUAUCUUCGGAUACUUGAGAGCGGCGUACGGGUGCGGAACACGUGUGCAACCUGCCUUUAUCUGAGGGAUAGCCUUUCGAAAGGGAGAUUAAUACCUCAUAAUAUACUGAUUGGCAUCAAUUGGUAUUGAAAGCUCCGGCGGAUAGAGAUGGGCACGCGCAAGAUUAGAUAGUUGGUGAGGUAACGGCUCACCAAGUCAAUGAUCUUUAGGGGGCCUGAGAGGGUGAUCCCCCACACUGGUACUGAGACACGGACCAGACUCCUACGGGAGGCAGCAGUGAGGAAUAUUGGACAAUGGGUGCAAGCCUGAUCCAGCCAUCCCGCGUGAAGGACGACGGCCCUAUGGGUUGUAAACUUCUUUUGUACAGGGAUAAACCUACCCUCGUGAGGGUAGCUGAAGGUACUGUACGAAUAAGCACCGGCUAACUCCGUGCCAGCCGCCGCGGUAAUA
RNAcentral lists this ribosomal RNA (495 nucleotides) under Riemerella anatipestifer. RNAcentral's name for it is "bacterial SSU rRNA". It matches the Rfam family "Bacterial small subunit ribosomal RNA", at positions 31 to 525 of the family's 1533-position model. The record is from RNAcentral. Lineage: Bacteria; Pseudomonadati; Bacteroidota; Flavobacteriia; Flavobacteriales; Weeksellaceae.